This 795-nucleotide ribosomal RNA is filed under the name uncultured bacterium. Its description in RNAcentral is "bacterial SSU rRNA". It matches the Rfam family "Bacterial small subunit ribosomal RNA", at positions 8 to 796 of the family's 1533-position model. The record is from RNAcentral.
AGAGUUUGAUCCUGGCUCAGAUUGAACGCUGGCGGCAUGCCUUACACAUGCAAGUCGAACGGCAGCACGGACUUCGGUCUGGUGGCGAGUGGCGAACGGGUGAGUAAUACAUCGGAACGUGUCCUGGAGUGGGGGAUAGCCCGGCGAAAGCCGGAUUAAUACCGCAUACGCUCUGUGGAGGAAAGCGGGGGAUCUUUCGGGACCUCGCGCUCAAGGGGCGGCCGAUGGCAGAUUAGGUAGUUGGUGGGGUAAAGGCCUACCAAGCCGACGAUCUGUAGCUGGUCUGAGAGGACGACCAGCCACACUGGGACUGAGACACGGCCCAGACUCCUACGGGAGGCAGCAGUGGGGAAUUUUGGACAAUGGGCGCAAGCCUGAUCCAGCAAUGCCGCGUGUGUGAAGAAGGCCUUCGGGUUGUAAAGCACUUUUGUCCGGAAAGAAAACCUCUGGGUUAAUACCCCGGGGGGAUGACGGUACCGGAAGAAUAAGCACCGGCUAACUACGUGCCAGCAGCCGCGGUAAUACGUAGGGUGCGAGCGUUAAUCGGAAUUACUGGGCGUAAAGCGUGCGCAGGCGGUGCUGUAAGACCGAUGUGAAAUCCCCGGGCUUAACCUGGGAACUGCAUUGGUGACUGCAGCGCUGGAGUAUGGCAGAGGGGGGUGGAAUUCCACGUGUAGCAGUGAAAUGCGUAGAGAUGUGGAGGAACACCGAUGGCGAAGGCAGCCCCCUGGGCCAAUACUGACGCUCAUGCACGAAAGCGUGGGGAGCAAACAGGAUUAGAUACCCUAGUAGUCC